GACGAACGCUGGCGGCGUGCUUAACACAUGCAAGUCGAACGGAAAGGCCCUGCUUUUGUGGGGUGCUCGAGUGGCGAACGGGUGAGUAACACGUGAGUAACCUGCCCUUGACUUUGGGAUAACUUCAGGAAACUGGGGCUACUACCGGAUAGGAGCUCCUGCUGCAUGGUGGGGGUUGGAAAGUUUCUGCGGUUGGGGAUGGACUCGCGGCUUAUCAGCUUGUUGGUGGGGUAGUGGCUUACCAAGGCUUUGACGGGUAGCCGGCCUGAGAGGGUGACCGGCCACAUGGGGACUGAGGUACGGCCCAGACGCCUACGGUAGGCAGCAGUGGCGAGUAUUGCACAAUGGGCGGAAGCCUGAGGCAGCAACGCCGCGGGCGGGAUGACGGCCUGCGGGGUGUAAACCGCUGUCGCCUGUGACGACGCGUGAGUGACGGUAAUGGGUAAAUAAGCACCGGCUAACUACGUG
RNAcentral lists this ribosomal RNA (468 nucleotides) under uncultured bacterium. Its description in RNAcentral is "partial 16S ribosomal RNA". It matches the Rfam family "Bacterial small subunit ribosomal RNA", at positions 28 to 507 of the family's 1533-position model. The record is from RNAcentral.